Molecule: ribosomal RNA, 369 nt
Filed under: uncultured bacterium
Lineage: Bacteria
Description: bacterial SSU rRNA
Rfam family: Bacterial small subunit ribosomal RNA
Source: RNAcentral
GAGAGGCCCAAACGUUAUUCGGAAUUACUGGGCUUAAAGAGUUCGUAGGCGGCGCANAAAGUAGGGUGUGAAAGCCCUCGGCUUAACCGAGGAAUUGCGCCCUAAACUACUGUGCUUGAGGAACCUAGAGGUGAGCAGAACAGAUGGUGGAGCGGUGAAAUGCGUUGAUAUCAUCUGGAAUACCGGAGGCGAAGGCGGCUCACUGGGGGUUUUCUGACGCUGAGGAACGAAAGCCAGGGUAGCGAACGGGAUUAGAUACCCCGGUAGUCCUGGCCGUAAACGAUGAGCACUAGGCCGGAGGGCUGCACAGCCUUUCGGCCGUAGCUAAAGUGUUAAGUGCUCCGCCUGGGGAGUAUGGUCGCAAGGCUG